AGAGUUUGAUCCUGGCUCAGAUUGAACGCUGGCGGCAUGCCUUACACAUGCAAGUCGAACGGCAGCACGGGGGCAACCCUGGUGGCGAGUGGCGAACGGGUGAGUAAUGCAUCGGAACGUGCCCAGUAGUGGGGGAUAGCCCGGCGAAAGCCGGAUUAAUACCGCAUACGUACUGAGGUAGAAAGCGGGGGACCGAAAGGCCUCGCGCUAUUGGAGCGGCCGAUGUCGGAUUAGCUUGUUGGUGGGGUAAUGGCCUACCAAGGCGACGAUCCGUAACUGGUCUGAGAGGACGACCAGUCACACUGGGACUGAGACACGGCCCAGACUCCUACGGGAGGCAGCAGUGGGGAAUUUUGGACAAUGGGCGCAAGCCUGAUCCAGCAAUGCCGCGUGUGUGAAGAAGGCCUUCGGGUUGUAAAGCACUUUUGUCCGGAAAGAAAUCCGUCUGGCUAAUACCCGGACGGGAUGACGGUACCGGAAGAAUAAGCACCGGCUAACUACGUGCCAGCAGCCGCGGUAAUACGUAGGGUGCGAGCGUUAAUCGGAAUUACUGGGCGUAAAGCGUGCGCAGGCGGCUUUGUAAGACAGAUGUGAAAUCCCCGGGCUCAACCUGGGAACUGCAUUUGUGACUGCAAGGCUAGAGUGCGUCAGAGGGAGGUGGAAUUCCGCGUGUAGCAGUGAAAUGCGUAGAGAUGCGGAGGAACACCGAUGGCGAAGGCAGCCUCCUGGGAUGACACUGACGCUCAUGCACGAAAGCGUGGGGGAGCAAACAGGAUUAGAUACCCUGGUAGUCCAUCCCUAAACGACGUCUACUAGUUGUCGGGGAUUCAUUUCCUGGUAACGCAGCUAACGCGUGAAGUAGACCGCAGGGGAGUACGGCCGCAAGGUUAAAACUCAAAGGAAUUGACGGGGACCCGCACAAGCGGUGGAUGAUGUGGAUUAAUUCGAUGCAACGCGAAAAACCUUACCUACGCUUGACAUGCCAGGAACUUUCCAGAGAUGGAUUGGUGCCCGAAAGGGAACCUGGACACAGGUGCUGCAUGGCAGUUGUCAGCUCGUGUCGUGA
RNAcentral lists this ribosomal RNA (1066 nucleotides) under uncultured bacterium. RNAcentral describes it as "bacterial SSU rRNA". It matches the Rfam family "Bacterial small subunit ribosomal RNA", at positions 8 to 1070 of the family's 1533-position model. The record is from RNAcentral.